GAUGAACGCUGGCGGCGUGCCUAAUACAUGCAAGUCGAGCGAACAGACGAGGAGCUUGCUCCUCUGACGUUAGCGGCGGACGGGUGAGUAACACGUGGAUAACCUACCUAUAAGACUGGGAUAACUUCGGGAAACCGGAGCUAAUACCGGAUAAUAUAUUGAACCGCAUGGUUCAAUAGUGAAAGACGGUUUUGCUGUCACUUAUAGAUGGAUCCGCGCCGCAUUAGCUAGUUGGUAAGGUAACGGCUUACCAAGGCGACGAUGCGUAGCCGACCUGAGAGGGUGAUCGGCCACACUGGAACUGAGACACGGUCCAGACUCCUACGGGAGGCAGCAGUAGGGAAUCUUCCGCAAUGGGCGAAAGCUUGACGGAGCAACGCCGCGUGAGUGAUGAAGGUCUUCGGAUCGUAAAACUCUGUUAUUAGGGAAGAACAAAUGUGUAAGUAACUAUGCACGUCUUGACGGUACCUAAUCAGAAAGCCACGGCAAACUACGUG
RNAcentral lists this ribosomal RNA (497 nucleotides) under uncultured bacterium. RNAcentral describes it as "partial 16S ribosomal RNA". It matches the Rfam family "Bacterial small subunit ribosomal RNA", at positions 28 to 507 of the family's 1533-position model. The record is from RNAcentral.